GCGCAUUAUCUUUGAUUAAUUCUUUAAUUUUACCUGUGAACAGAGCUUAUAUCUUCGUUUUAAAAACUGCAUAUUUUAAAUUUUUUAAAUGCAAUCAAAUGAUCAAAGCAAAAACAUUUUUUUUUUAAAAUUUGCAUCUCUGUUUGCUUCUUUUAAUUUAAGUUAUCUAAUUAAUACCAUUAUUUUAUCUCUGGUAAUAUAUGGAAAGCAUGUACCAGGUUCAAAAGAAAAUGACAGCAAUUCAGAUCUUUAAUCUAAUGAAAAUGUACAAAACAAAUAGUUCAUAGUGCAAGUGUAAUCAAAUCGCAUAUAACUAAAUCAUUUCUCUUUUUAAACAUAUUUUUCUUCCUUUUUACCUAAUUCUUAUGUUUUUCCUGUGUUUUUAUACAUUUUACUUUUAUGUAUGUAUAUUAGACUAUUAUUUCACAACCGCAAUACAGAUUUUCAACAAGAACAACUAACAUACGAGUGAGGAAAAAUGUUGGUGCAAUGUAAGUAGUUUUUAUGGUUUUACAAAUUUGAUUUGACCUGUAUACAUGAUAUUAAUAUUGAUUUAUUCCUUUAUAUUGUAUGAUAAUAAUAAUUAUGAUGAUAGAUGACAUUGUAUUUUUGAUUAUUUAAAGUACAUGGUGCGGAGUAUUUAAGACUGUCUCGCAAUAUUUCAUUUCAUUCUUUUUAAAAUAUUAAUAAAACUCCAGCGAGAUAAAACCAUGUCAGAACACAAGCACUUAAAUAAAUGUGCACGUAGUUUAUGGAUAGUCUGUAAAUUGCACAGGACAAUAACGACAUUACUAUUGAAUGAAAAGAGAUAUUUGUAUUUCUUUCUUUUUGUUAGGUUUGCAAAAAUGUUUUUUCACAAAGUAACCACAUCCUUUUGUGUUUUAGGCUUACAAUGUUUCUUUUUGUAUCUACAAUCAGCGGUACAGCGUCUCUUUCAUGCUUCACGUGUUCUGAUGCACUUAGCUUAGGAGAAUGUACGUCCAUUGAAACAUGCUCCGAAGGAGAGGUUUGUUACAAAAAACGAGACUAUACCAGUCAAGUGCAGUUUAGCCUCGAAUGUAUUGACAAGAAGG
Molecule: long non-coding RNA, 1073 nt
Organism: Ruditapes philippinarum (Manila clam)
Lineage: Eukaryota; Metazoa; Mollusca; Bivalvia; Venerida; Veneridae
Exons: 3
Source: RefSeq, a predicted model, not a curated record